RNAcentral lists this ribosomal RNA (114 nucleotides) under Betta splendens (Siamese fighting fish). The record is from RNAcentral. Lineage: Eukaryota; Metazoa; Chordata; Actinopteri; Anabantiformes; Osphronemidae.
GCUUACGGCCAUACCACCUGGGCACGCCCGAUCUCGUCUGAUUCGGAAGCUAAGCAGGGUCGGGCUGGUAGUACUGGAUGGGAGACCGCCUGGGAAUACCAGGUGCUGUAAGCU